GUGUGUGUGUGUGUGUGUGUGUGUGUGUGUGUGUGUGUGUGUGUGUUUGUCUUUGCUACAUUGUGGGGACCAACACCUGACAGCCCAGUCAUAGUGUGGGGACCAAAAAACUUGUGGGGACCAAAACCCUGGACCCCACAAUUUUUAUCAUUGAUAUAGUGAUAAAAUGACUAGAUAGACGUUCUGUCAAAAUUUCAGCGCUUUACCCACAAUACACGAAAACCAACUUUUUUGUGUGAAGUGUGUGUGCUCAGUGCUGCCCCUGUAGACAGAACAUGGUACUGCAUCUACACACAGUUACGCACACUUUCACACACUUGUCUUGUUUUUAUGCCAUUGUGUGGACAUACACAGAACAAACUUGUCUUGUUUUUAUGUCAUUGUGGGCACACACAGAUCACCCAGUUUUUGAUCUGUUGUGGGGACACAUUGCGCAACUACAAUAAUACAAAAAUCCCUCUCAGGUAAAAGCUUUAAUAUAUACAACACUUUGAGUUAUAUAAAUUAUGUGUAUUAAAACUUAUACAUUCAUUCACAAGACACCUUCGCGUUUUUUAACAAACUUUUGCGGAUCUUUCCCAACAGAUGAAAGCGUAAAAUGAUCCAAUUUUUCAAGCCAUGGGUGAAAGGUGUAGGUGGUUCAUUACCAUUUUAUGCUUAUGAAUACACGAGAUGAUAUCUCGAAAAUGUUUCAUGCACAUCUCAACGUUUAUUCAAAUAACUAGUCAGUUUUACCAUGUUUGGAGUUUACCUUUAAUUCUGAAUGAAAACUGAUCCUUUUUGGAAACUGAAAGCGUAAACAAUCGGAAAAACGAUGUUUCCUUUAUCCUAAAUUUGCUAACCAUCUAGGAUUUUAGAAGUUUUAGGAAGUUUGAAAUUCUCAAAUUCUGUUCAGUGACGGACUUUAAGCAGAAGCACUUAUUUGGAUUUUGUUGUUUUUCAAUGUCUUAAAUUAAAAUGUUCAAUCUAAACUCACUGAAGCACUUCAUUACGACAAGCAAUUGCUACAAAGUAUGGCAUCAAAUGCGAUGCAAUGAAAAAUAUGGGUCCUAGAUUUUGUGCUGGUGCAUCCAAAAAAAAAGUUAGGCACACCAAUGCAAGCAAUGCAAAACGUGUGGAGCCCUGCCUCACAAAACAUUCAGAUUUUCCAGACUGGCAUCUUUUCCUACCACUGGAGCCAACUCAUAAUGUGAUCAGUUGACAGCUCCACCUCUCUCUUCACCCGAGCGUCCAUGACAUUCAGCCGCAGGCCUAAUGACACGACUACAAAGUCAUUAAUUGAGCUGCGGCCUAAGGUGUCCAGGUGCCAAAUGGACAUAUGGACUUCUUUAUGCUUAGACAUUGUAUAAAUAUUGAUAUGCAAUGAGCGCAGAUUUCCAGGCAUUAAAAACCACUCAGGAGCUGAUCUGGGGGUGUUUGGGGUUACUCUCAAUCAUGCCCCUCCGGGUCUUGCUGUCAUUCAGGUGAGGUCAGGUGUGGGGACACGUGCAAGGAAGACGCUUCGCUGCGUUCACCCUCGCGCUCCACUCAGCGGCUGAUCUCCUAGCGUAGGUCCGGGCGCCUUCCCGGCCCGGUACCCUUACAUUCGCAAGAUUCUCUUCCAGCUACUACACAGCACCCUCUGUUCCAGAGUACAGAGCCGGGAUGAGAACAAGGUGCAGUGGAAUGCUGCGGAGCUCCAAAAGUCUCCACAAAGCGUCUCUACUCACUGACUCCAACGCCUUCCUGAAAUCGACAUAGGCAGCUAAUACUUCCUUCUCAUAUUCAAGAAGUCGCUCUGAAAAAACGCGAAGUGCUAGGAUGCGGUCGACAGUGGACUUCUUUGGUGUGAGCCCAGACUAUUCAGGACGCUGGUGAUCGAGUAGCUGCUGACGUAUCCUGUUCAGAAGUACAUGUGUGAAGGCUUUGCCGGGCACUGAGAGGCGGGUGACCCUGUGGUGGUUGCUGGACUCUCGAAUGUCACCCGAGCUCCAAACGGAGCAGAUGAGUGCCUGCAACUCCCGCAGGGCGGCGUCGGCCCAGCUUUAAGCGUCUAUCCGUAGACACCGCAGUUGCCUGGUGCACUCCCAUCCCCCAACUGGCCAACAGCCUUUCGGACAUCCUCAAGGGUUGGCACAACAAUGUUGACCAGUGGGUCAGGCGUCAGGCAUGCAAUGCCCUUGGCGGGGAGCUCUCAGCUGGGAGGCUCGGCCCCACGCAGCUCCUCAAAGUACUAAACCCAGCGCCACGGGGCGUCCUCUUCCGACAGGACUGUGCCAUCAGCAGCUAGAACCACCGUGCAGCUUGGACGGGAGGCAGAGAAACGCAGCUCGUGGAUGACUUAGAAAACCAGACGAGCGUCGCCGGAAUGUGUGUCCUCCUGCUCCCCAUGAACUGUGCAGAUGGGCUUUCUCCUCAGCUGCCUGUAGGGCUCGGAAUUGCGGUCAAGUCUUGCCUUGCGGCUCUCGUCGAUGAUGUUUAACGUCGCUUCCGAAAGCCCACUCCGAUGGCCCCGGGCAACUUUGGGAUGCUGUCACUAGCUGUCGCCCGGACACAGUCCCUGAAGCCAGUCCACAUAUCCUGCGCCUCCCCCACAACGCCCAGUCGCCCAAGCCAUUCUGUCAGGUUUUUGGAGUGCGCGUCUGCCACCCGGGGGUCCCGCAGGCUUCCGACAUCCAGCCGAAUUUGGCUGGCCGUCGCGCAAUGCGGCAUGCCCCUAGCUGUAGCUUCAGUGUCGCUACCAGCAACUGAUGGUCAGUGCUGAAGAACUGGCCACUCUGGAAGACACGACAGUUCCGUCCACGAGUACAUGAUCGAGCUCCUUCGCAGUUCGGCCAGUAUUAGAAUACCAGGUCCGUAAAUUCGGCCUCGUGAACCACGACCCUCCAACCCGAAGACCGCGACUUACUGCAAAGUCGAGCAGCCUCUCGGAGUUGUCGUCACAGAUUCCCUUGGGGACACGUUCCAGAGCUGUGAGGACCGAGACAUGACUCCUAGCAGUCCCAUGACGUACGAGUGACAGUGUUGAAGUCGCCAAGCAUGAUCCUUGUGUCUCUCUUUGGAACAGCAUCCAUCGCCGAUUCAAGCUCAGUGUAGAAGGCUCCCUUCUUUGGAAGCUCACUUUCCCUGGUUGGAGCGUACACUGCAACAAACGACAUAACGCCCACCGAGUGAGCGGGUCGCACCCUCAUGGUACGCUCUGAGACCAGCAUGACCUCCCUGACCUGCGAAGCCCCCCUGUUGGCCACCACAAUGGCCAAACCCUCGGUGCGCCGACCUUCGGCUCGACCCGACCAGUCAUAGGUGUAACCACCUACCUUGAUCUGGCCACUGCCUGGUCGAUGAAGGCGACUACAGCGAUGCCCAACCUGGCAAGCUCAAAAGACAAGGCAGACACGCUGGCAUCAUCUUGGAGUGAGAGCUUGUUCCAGGCGUCCAUCCAGCGUCCACCCGUUCCGAACGCCUCAGAAUCAGCCGAGAGCGUCGAGGUCCAGUGGAUGACUCCUCAGCGCCACUGCGACGCGAGGCGUGCCCUCACCAACCUGGUUACUUGCCCCCUCAUCAGCCGGCGGGGGUCCGAAAGGCUUUGCGGCGAGAAUUUAAUAGGGUGGGGGUGCAAACCCCACUCCCCGAGGCUCCGGUGGCAGGGCCCGCCACAGCCCUUCCAGCCCGAUUGGACCGGACAUCUGCUGCUGUUAAUGGCACAGAAACAUGAUCGUUUGCUUCUCACCCUUACAGUUAAAAAUAAUAAUUUAUUUUUCUUAUCAAUGGCAGCCACAGAGUUCAGUCCAAUUUCUGGGGCUAAUUGCCAAAUGAGUUGUUGUAUUUAUUUGAAAUACAGUGAAGAUGAAUGGGAAAGUGGCUGUUUUCCCCCAAAACAUUCAGAUAAACACUAUAUGUUUUCAUACCCUCCACAAAAGUCUGCCUACCUUGCCAAGUCAACCAGAAUAACCACGUGGAGAAAGAAUAGAACUGCUUUUGAAAAAAAAUCUUAAAGUAAUCUUAAUCGGGCAGUAUGUUAUGUAUGUAUACUAUGUUGACGGGAAAAAACACAUCAUCUAUCUAUCUAUCUAUCUAUCUAUCUAUCUAUCUAUCUAUCUAUCUAUCUAUCUAUCUAUCUAUCUAUCUAUCUAUCUAUCUAUCUAUCUAUCUAUCUAUCUAUCUAUCUAUCUAUCUAUCUAUCUAUCUAUCUAUCUAUCGUAGCGGUAAGACGUUGGAUGGAGUCUUAUUUCCCGUGCUCGGCGGCUCAUGUGUUUCUUGUAACUCGCUAGGAACUCUGCUGCUCUCUGUGAACUCUGAACUCAGCCGGAACGCGCGCGGCUCUAAAGUGUCUGUCACGUGACUGUGACGUAGCCGGUAACGCGCUCGGCCAAAUGGACACACAAGUACGAUGGGUGAAUAAUGUCAAACAACAAAGGGUCACCCCACAGGUCCCCCCAGAAUUCACCCACACAGGACGCCAGGCGCAACCCGAAUCAAAAGAACGGAAUGCAUGAGUUGCUCUGCCGGGGCGUCAGUGGAAAACGACCGAACAGACGGUCAGGCGGCCGUCCAGGACGCCGGAUGCGGGAAGUCUGAGCAGAACAGUCUGGAGGACGCCCAGGAUGCCAGGCGGCGGGCGACCAAAAGCGACGACCAGGAUGCAAGGCGGUGGACGACCGAGCAGGACGAUCGGGCGCCCGUCCAGGACGAGGAGCGCGUCGCGCAGCUCCGCCCAGGCGAGGCCGGAGAAGCGGACGCCAAGAGAGGCGGCACGCGUUGCUCAGCUGCGGUCGAGGAAGAGGUCGAGACGUGCGACGUCUCGGCGGAAAGACUAUGAAGUGCUGUGCUCUGACCGCCGUCGAGUACCCGAGCGCGGCUACCACGUGGUAGAAGCGGAUGGUGUCGUUGGAAAUACCACGGAGGACGAACUGCUCCUCCGCGAACGCGAACAACGCGGCCGCAGAAGACUCAUUAAACGUCGCCAGCUCGAAAAAGCUAGCGUCCGCCAUUCCUUAAAGUGUUCAAAAAUGCCUCUGAGACUUCAGCGAGGCUCGUCGGGGUCACCAGGGUAAGCGGUAAGACGUUGGAUGGAGUCUUAUUUGCCGUGCUCGGCGGCUCAUGUGUCUCUUGUAACUCGCUAGGAACUCUGCUGCUUUCUGUGAACUCUGAACUCAGCCAGAACGCGCGCAGCUCUAAAGUAUCUGUCCGUGACUGUGACGUAGCCGGUAACGCGCUCGGCCAAAUGGACACACCAGUACGAUGGGUGAAUUAUGUCAAACAACAAAGGGUCACCACACUAUCUGUCUGUCUGUCACGACUUAUUGCAAUUAACUCCUAGCAUGCGACUGCUAUGAGUGAUAACCUUGAUUUUUGUGCUUUACCCAACAUACCCUUUUUUAUUCAGUGUUAUUACAGGUUUUACCAGAAAUUUGAGUAAAAGCAAACAAUUUUUUGAAUUUAUAUAUAUAUAUAUGUGUGUGUGUAUUUUAAGACGUGCUUUUGGAAAUGAACUCUUCUUAUGUAAAUUGUGUUUCCUGAAAAAGGUCACUCAAAUAUAAUUAUUAACAACCACACAUUAAUUAAAGUUACAGUGAGACCCCUUCAGACCCGCAGUUUUACUGAUGGGGAAAAAAAUAAUACAAUCUGCCCUGAUUUUUACUCAAACACCACAACAAAGUGCAAUUUUUUGGUUUGGUUAUUUAAAGUUUUUAUUGGUCAUUUUUUAUGUUAAUGUGUUUUUGAUGACAAACGGGCACUUUACGUUAUUCGUUUUGAAAGAGCCAAAAAUAGCAAAGAGGGCUUCUCACUACUCAUGAUUUGAUUUCAAUGGGUAAAGUUUCAUACAAUCAUCUCCCAGAAGUGACAAUUGCAACUGAAUUCACUGUAUUUAUUGGUUUAGAGAUGCGCACGCAUCAUGUCCUCCCGCAGCAAGUCUGAAGGGGUUAAAACAUAUUGACGUUCACAGCUGGCGCGGGAAGACUGAUUAAGCACCGCCCAAUGCAUUGCAGAUGAGAACAAUUGAAUGAGAGGAGGAAGUGCAACUUUUGGAAAGUCACCCUGAUUAAAGUACAUAUACUACCUGUUUUAACGCAGAGAAUUGGCAAUGCCUUCCCUGAGAAGCAGGAAAUCACCAAAACAGGAUGCCAUUGAACAUGCUUUAAUGGGUCUGGAUAAGACUCUCGAGUUGGAGAAGAAGUACAUCAGUUCUUUUAAAGGUCGAGGAGUAUUUACCAAAGCCCCUUUCAGGAAAGAAGAUUUUGUGGUGGAGUACAGAGGAGAAUUAAUAGAUUGGGAUGAAUCCCAAAAGAGAAAGAUGGACUAUGGAACAGGAAGAGUCUUUGUCUUUGAUUUCCGCUGGCAAGAAAAAACUUGGUGCAUUGAUGCUGCCAAAGAAGAUGGCAGUCUCGGAAGACUGGUCAAUGAUGACCACAAGCACCCAAAUUGUAAAAUGAAGAUGAUUGCGACAGAGGGCAAGCCUCACCUGUGUUUAUUUGCACAAAGGGACCUUGACAUUGGUGAAGAGAUAACUUAUGACUACGGACCAGCGGACUGGCCUUGGAGGAAAAAGGUUUGUCAAAUAAGUAUCAGACAUAAAAAUAACUUGCAACAGAGCUUUGGUCCCUCAAAUGUUGGGGUUUCCAGUUUGUUUUCAUUUUAUGGUAAACAGGUUGACUGUUUGUAGGCUAACCACAAACUAAUUUAAAAGUUGUUUUCCUCCUUAUCACAUGAUCACAUCAAUAGAAAUUGUAUGUCUCCAUUUGCGGAUCAGGACAAAGGACAAUCGACUGUGACGAAAACUGCUGAGAGUGAAAUUUCCAGGACCAGAGAGCAGCCUCCACAAUCUAAAGACUUGGAUAUGGAGGUUGGAGGAAGCCAUUCCACUGUGACUGAAUAUUCUGAGGUUGGGGUCUCCAGAACCAGAGAGCAACAGUCUCCGAAAUCUACACACGCUGCAAUGGAGG
Molecule: long non-coding RNA, 6923 nt
Organism: Corythoichthys intestinalis (scribbled pipefish)
Lineage: Eukaryota; Metazoa; Chordata; Actinopteri; Syngnathiformes; Syngnathidae
Exons: 5
Source: RefSeq, a predicted model, not a curated record